This 440-nucleotide ribosomal RNA is filed under the name uncultured bacterium. RNAcentral's name for it is "partial 16S ribosomal RNA". It matches the Rfam family "Bacterial small subunit ribosomal RNA", at positions 338 to 795 of the family's 1533-position model. The record is from RNAcentral.
CCUACGGGAGGCAGCAGUAGGGAAUAUUGCUCAAUGGGGGAAACCCUGAAGCAGCAACGCCGCGUGGAGGAUGAAGGUUUUCGGAUUGUAAACUCCUUUUGUUAGAGAAGAUAAUGACGGUAUCUAACGAAUAAGCACCGGCUAACUCCGUGCCAGCAGCCGCGGUAAUACGGAGGGUGCAAGCGUUACUCGGAAUCACUGGGCGUAAAGAGCGCGUAGGCGGGAUAGCAAGUCAGAUGUGAAAUCCUAGGGCUUAACCAUAGAACUGCAUUUGAAACUGUUAUUAUAGAGUAUGGGAGAGGUAGGUGGAAUGCUUGGUGUAGGGGUAAAAUCCGUAGAGAUCAAGAGGAAUACUCAUUGCGAAGGCGACCUGCUAGAACAUAACUGACGCUGAUGCGCGAAAGCGUGGGGAGCAAACAGGAUUAGAUACCCGAGUAGUC